This 189-nucleotide small RNA is filed under the name Marmoricola sp. Leaf446. Its description in RNAcentral is "Actinobacteria sRNA Ms_IGR-5". It matches the Rfam family "Actinobacteria sRNA Ms_IGR-5". Lineage: Bacteria; Bacillati; Actinomycetota; Actinomycetes; Propionibacteriales; Nocardioidaceae. The record is from Rfam by way of RNAcentral.
ACACGGGAAAGGAGGUGGUCCGAGGAAUGAGUUCUUCGAGGACGCGUGAGGUGGCUGCCCACUAGCAGCGCACCGCCCAGCCGCGUGAGCGCGCUGGUGAAUUCCAAGCAGUCACCCGACCCGCAGACGAUCCGGGAACACGUCCCCCGGAGCGGCCGAACCCUCGGCCACGUCUGCGGGUCGCCUGCU